This 915-nucleotide ribosomal RNA is filed under the name uncultured archaeon. RNAcentral's name for it is "bacterial SSU rRNA". It matches the Rfam family "Archaeal small subunit ribosomal RNA", at positions 1 to 906 of the family's 1478-position model. The record is from RNAcentral.
UUCCCGGUUGAUCCUGCCGGAGGUCACUGCUAUUGGGAUUCGGCUAAGCCAUGCAAGCGGAGGGCGCGGUCGAAAGAUCGUGGCCCCGCACACUGCUCAGUAACACGUAGUCAACCUACCCUUGGGACGGGGACAACCUCGGGAAACUGAGGCUAAUACCCGAUAGGUGAGGGACGCUGGGAUGCCUCCUCGCCCAAAGCUCCGGCGCCCAAGGAUGGGACUGCGGUCUAUCAGGCUGUUGGUGGUGUAACGGACCACCAAACCUACGACGGGUACGGGCGAUGGGGGUCGGAGCCCGGAGAUGGGGACUGAGACAAGGCCCCAGGCCCUACGGGGCGCAGCAGGCGCGAAAACUCCGCAAUGCGCGCAAGCGUGACGGGGGGAUCCCAAGUGCCGUUGGUCUUUCGAUCGACGGUUUUUAGGAAGUCUAAGAAGCUUCCAGAAUAAGGGCUGGGCAAGACUGGUGCCAGCCGCCGCGGUAACACCAGCAGCCCAAGUGGUGGCCACGAUUAUUGGGCCUAAAGCGCUCGUAGCCGGAUCAGCAAGUCCCUUGUGAAAUCGGGCCGCCUAACGGUUCGGCGUGCAAGGGAUACUGUUGGUCUUGAGGCCGGGAGAGGUCGGAGGUACUCCUGGGGUAGCGGUGAAAUGCUCUAAUCCUAGGGGGACCACCAGUGGCGAAGGCGUCCGACCAGAACGGACCUGACGGUGAGGGGCGAAGGCUAGGGGAGCGAACGGGAUUAGAUACCCCGGUAGUCCUAGCUGUAAAGCAUGCGGGCCAGGUGUCUAGCGCUCCUUGAGGGCACUAGGUGCCGGAGGGAAGCCGUUAAGCCCGCCGCCUGGGAAGUACGGCCGCAAGGCUGAAACUUAAAGAAAUUGGCGGGGGAGCACCACAAGAGGUGGGACCUGCGGUUCAAU